Molecule: long non-coding RNA, 2509 nt
Organism: Bubalus bubalis (water buffalo)
Lineage: Eukaryota; Metazoa; Chordata; Mammalia; Artiodactyla; Bovidae
Exons: 5
Source: RefSeq, a predicted model, not a curated record
UAAAAUAUGCAUAUAAGAUUUUCUUUGUAUAGAGGAAGUUUGCUUUUACCCAGUCAUUCAUUAAUCAGUAUAUAUGUUCUAUGACUGGUGCUGCUCCUCACAUUGGGAAUGUAGUCUAGGCCCUGAUGGGAGCCUACACUGGAGACAAGGAAGCAAACAUUAGCCUAAUUGUGAAAUCAAUUACUUAACUGCAGCUGUGAUGAGACUGCAAAGGAGAAGUCUAGGCUGUGAGGAGAAUAUCUAACACCAGGAGAUCUGGCCUUGGCUGGGGAAGUGAUGGCCAAGCCAAAUGCAGGAGAAAUGUAUUUUUCCCUAAUGCAAUGGAAUCCUGGGAGCUCAUGAAAAGAAGCAGCUUAAUACUUGGUAGCAAGAGAGGACUUGAAGGUUUGGGGCUGGAGCCAGCUUCCAGAUGGGGCCCAGGGGCCAGUCAGGUGUAGACAGAAUCUCUAGGGACCCACACAGAGGCCUUGUCAUAUGUUAAUCUGUCAGGAAAAUGGGCUCCUUACCAAGCCUGACCAGACAGAGGCAGUAAGGCAGGGAGAGAAUCUGGUUAGGCAUUUCCUGAUUGAAGUCAGCGGUGCUGCGUUUGCUGGUGGAGAGAGCUGAAGGGCCAGCUGGGAAAAGCUGGGAGAGACAGGGCCAGGGAAAUCAGGCCAGGCUCUCCCAAACACAUAUAAACUUGGAUGAAGGGUCAGACUCCAGCUUAUUUACAAACAACAGUGCAUUACUUGAAUUCCCCAAAGUAAUACUCCUAGAGGAGUAUUAACUAUUAGCUAGAAGUCCUUCCAGACUGCAAACUUGUCUCAGAGCAAUAGUAAAACAUCUUGUUUCUUCUGUCCAAAAGAAGCAGUUGGAUUGUCUCUUGGCUUUGGCUAGGCAAAGAACAUCCUCCUCGGAACAAACCUGUCUGUUUCCUUAUCCUUUAAAGGUGGAACAACUGUGAAAAAUGAUGGUGUUGGCAUCAGAAAUCAUAAUGGAACUCAGAAAGGAACUGAGAAGGAAGAGGGCUUAAAGAGAAAUGACGAAUUCAAUUAUGGAUAUACCAACACGUAUGUGUUCACAAAAAGUUCAGGAGCAAACACCGAGUAGGAACUGAAAGUGUGGGACAGAUUAUCAGAAGAUCAGUCAGAGUGUGUCCCAUGCAGGAAGAACUGAAGUCAUCCUGCUAUAUUGAGAGCUUUCUUUGGGCACUGUUCUCUGGAUGUGAGUAACAUGGCUGGAAAGAGAAAGACCCUUUCAGCACCUGGCUUUUGAGCAUCCAGGGAGACCCGCACUUAGUUGGAAGACUGGAAUUAAGGUGCAGAGGGAGAGCCACUGAAGGCCAGCUUCUCCAAGUCUGAAGGCACUCCAGGCUCCACUUUAACCAGCUAAGUCGGCAGAAGCCAGCAGAGACAGUAAAAGUUCCUGAAGGUUCAGAUGUCAACAGAACAAUCUCUCCCUGGAGAAUAACCCUUCUGGAAGGUCACAGCAGUUAAGAAGCCAGACUGUCAGUUGGAGUCCUGAUUCCACCAUUUUCUCACUAUAGGACUCUGGGCAAUUUUCUUAACCCCUGAGUUUCCUUAUGGAUAAAAAUGUAAUGGUGUUUAGGUUACGAAGAGUAUGAUGGGUUAAUGUGUAUGAAGUGCUUUUUUUUUUGUACAAUGCUUGUUAUGUAGUAAUUUUAUUAAUAUUAUCAUGCACCCUGUGAGAUUAGAAGUGGGCUAUUACUAUUUCCCCCUUUAAGAUUAUAUUUUAACGUUGCCUCAGCAAGACUAGAGUACACGUGUACUUAUUUAGAGAAUGAUUAGAAAAAGGAGUGUGGCUGCCGCCAGGCCUGGGCAAGUCAGUCUUAGGUAAAUUAAGGCUGAGUGAUAGCAGAUCUUAUGGGCUAGGCCAGAGAGUCUAGAUUAAUCUUGUUGACAGUAAAUAGCCAUUUAAAUGGUCUGAACCGGAGAAUGAUGUGAUUGGUUUUAAACAGACCUGUUUUAAAGCAGACCAGUACAGAACGCAAAUGGGCUAUGCAAGUGUCUCACCCCUUCUAGAGCUGCUCGAGUUUUUCCGCCCUACUUCUACAAGUGGUGCUACCACGGGAUUUGCAUUUGCAACUUGUGGUUUUCCUGAAGCAGAGAAGGGUCCUCAAAACACUGACAUUUCAAGGUCUGCCCCAAGAGGUUGACAGUUGAAUGAAACCUUGAAGCCCCCGUGUCCAUUCUGAAAACCCCCAGCUAGCGACAGCCCUGGAGUAAUUUUAUUUUCCCCCUAAAUUUUAAAACAGUUACCUGUAUCAUCUAAGGCACUUUGAAGAUUUACAUUCCAGUGCUUCCCCCGGCCGCCAGCAAAACCUGGAGUGAAAAAACAAGGGAACUAGAAACAGUGUCAUGUACCCUCCUGGAACCACUGAGGUCCUCCAGUACAAUGGGAAUUUCAUGUAAUGGAGAGGAACUGUUAGCCUGCUUCCAAGUAUUUCACGGGUUUAGGGUCAAGAAGUUUACAAUGAAGAUUUGGGGCUUGGCCAGAUAUACUGUAGAAU